This 497-nucleotide ribosomal RNA is filed under the name uncultured bacterium. RNAcentral's name for it is "partial 16S ribosomal RNA". It matches the Rfam family "Bacterial small subunit ribosomal RNA", at positions 28 to 507 of the family's 1533-position model. The record is from RNAcentral.
GACGAACGCUGGCGGCGUGCCUAAUACAUGCCAGUUGAGCGAUGAAGCUUGGUGCUUGCACCAAUUUGAAGAGCAGCGAACGGGUGAGUAACGCGUGGGGAAUCUGCCUUUGAGCGGGGGACAACAUUUGGAAACGAAUGCUAAUACCGCAUAACAACUUUAAACAUAAGUUUUAAGUUUGAAAGAUGCAAUUGCAUCACUCAAAGAUGAUCCCGCGUUGUAUUAGCUAGUUGGUGAGGUAAAGGCUCACCAAGGCGAUGAUACAUAGCCGACCUGAGAGGGUGAGCGGCCACAUUGGGACUGAGACACGGCCCAAACGCCUACGGGAGGCAGCAGUAGGGAAUCGUCGGCAAUGGACGAAAGUCUGACCGAGCAACGCCGCGUGAGUGAAGAAGGUUGUCGGAUCGUAAAACUCUGUUGGUAGAGAAGAACGUUGGUGAGAGUGGAAAGCUCAUCAAGUGACGGUAACUACCCAGAAAGGGACGGCUAACUACGUG